This 520-nucleotide ribosomal RNA is filed under the name uncultured Glomeraceae. RNAcentral's name for it is "SSU rRNA". It matches the Rfam family "Eukaryotic small subunit ribosomal RNA", at positions 569 to 1092 of the family's 1831-position model. Lineage: Eukaryota; Fungi; Glomeromycota; Glomeromycetes; Glomerales; Glomeraceae. The record is from RNAcentral.
AGCAGCCGCGGUAAUUCCAGCUCCAAUAGCGUAUAUUAAAGUUGUUGCAGUUAAAAAGCUCGUAGUUGAAUUUCGGGAUCAAUACGUCGGUCGUGCUCCGGUACGUACUGGCGUCAUUGAUUUCUCCCUUCUGACGAACCACGAUGUCAUUAACUUGGUGUCAUGGGAAAUCAGGACUGUUACUUUGAAAAAAUUAGAGUGUUUAAAGCAGGCUCACGCUUGAAUACAUUAGCAUGGAAUAAUGAAAUAGGACGUUCGAUCCUAUUUUGUUGGUUUUAGGAUCAACGUAAUGAUUAAUAGGGAUAGUUGGGGGCAUUAGUAUUCAAUUGUCAGAGGUGAAAUUCUUGGAUUUAUUGAAGACUAACUACUGCGAAAGCAUUUGCCAAGGAUGUUUUCAUUAAUCAAGAACGAAAGUUAGGGGAUCGAAGACGAUCAGAUACCGUCGUAGUCUUAACCAUAAACUAUGCCGACUAGGGAUCGGAUGAUGUUAAUUUUUUAAUGACUCAUUCGGCGCCUUACG